AGAGUCUGAUGGAGCACGCCGCGUGAGUGAAGAAGGGUUUCGGCUCGUAAAACUCUGUUGUUAAAGAAGAACAUAUCUGAGAGUAACUGUUCAGGUAUUGACGGUAUUUAACCAGAAAGCCACGGCUAACUACGUGCCAGCAGCCGCGGUAAUACGUAGGUGGCAAGCGUUGUCCGGAUUUAUUGGGCGUAAAGCGAGCGCAGGCGGUUUUUUAAGUCUGAUGUGAAAGCCUUCGGCUCAACCGAAGAAGUGCAUCGGAAACUGGGAAACUUGAGUGCAGAAGAGGACAGUGGAACUCCAUGUGUAGCGGUGAAAUGCGUAGAUAUAUGGAAGAACACCAGUGGCGAAGGCGGCUGUCUGGUCUGUAACUGACGCUGAGGCUCGAAAGUAUGGGUAGCAAACAGGAUUAGAUACCCUGGUAGUCCAUACCGUAAACGAUGAAUGCUAAGUGUUGGAGGGUUUCCGCCCUUCAGUGCUGCAGCUAACGCAUUAAGCAUUCCGCCUGGGGAGUACGGCCGCAAGGCUGAAACUCAAAGGAAUUGACGGGGGCCCGCACAAGCGGUGGAGCAUGUGGUUUAAUUCGAAGCUACGCGAAGAACCUUACCAGGUCUUGACAUACUAUGCAAAUCUAAGAGAUUAGACGUUCCCUUCGGGGACAUGGAUACAGGUGGUGCAUGGUUGUCGUCAGCUCGUGUCGUGAGAUGUUGGGUUAAGUCCCGCAACGAGCGCAACCCUUAUUAUCAGUUGCCAGCAUUAAGUUGGGCACUCUGGUGAGACUGCCGGUGACAAACCGGAGGAAGGUGGGGAUGACGUCAAAUCAUCAUGCCCCUUAUGACCUGGGCUACACACGUGCUACAAUGGAUGGUACAACGAGUUGCGAACUCGCGAGAGUAAGCUAAUCUCUUAAAGCCAUUCUCAGUUCGGAUUGUA
Molecule: ribosomal RNA, 930 nt
Filed under: Lactiplantibacillus plantarum
Lineage: Bacteria; Bacillati; Bacillota; Bacilli; Lactobacillales; Lactobacillaceae
Description: bacterial SSU rRNA
Rfam family: Bacterial small subunit ribosomal RNA
Source: RNAcentral